GACGAACGCUGGCGGCGUGCUUAACACAUGCAAGUCGAACGGAAAGGCCAGUGCUUGCACUGGUACUCGAGUGGCGAACGGGUGAGUAACACGUGGGUGAUCUGCCUUGCACUCUGGGAUAAGCUUGGGAAACUGGGUCUAAUACCGGAUAGGAACUGCCUUUAGUGUGGUGGUUGGAAAGUUUUUUCGGUGCAAGAUGAGCUCGCGGCCUAUCAGCUUGUUGGUGGGGUAAUGGCCUACCAAGGCGUCGACGGGUAGCCGGCCUGAGAGGGUGUACGGCCACAUUGGGACUGAGAUACGGCCCAGACUCCUACGGGAGGAAGCAGUGGGGAAUAUUGCACAAUGGGCGGAAGCCUGAUGCAGCGACGCCGCGUGGGGGAUGACGGCCUUCGGGUUGUAAACUCCUUUCGACAGGGACGAAGCGUAAGUGACGGUACCUGUAUAAGAAGCACCGGCUAACUACGUG
RNAcentral lists this ribosomal RNA (466 nucleotides) under uncultured bacterium. RNAcentral's name for it is "partial 16S ribosomal RNA". It matches the Rfam family "Bacterial small subunit ribosomal RNA", at positions 28 to 507 of the family's 1533-position model. The record is from RNAcentral.